UAUUUGAGGUUGUUUGUUUCUGUUUUUCAUGUCCAGGUUGCUUCCAGGUUGUUUUUGGUUGUGACUUGUUGUAGGACGUUUCUGGACUGUUUCACACGCAAGGAGAGUCUCUCCUGAGUUUAAUUGUUAUUAGAAUCUA
RNAcentral lists this small RNA (139 nucleotides) under Arabidopsis thaliana (thale cress). RNAcentral describes it as "ATSL273650". Lineage: Eukaryota; Viridiplantae; Streptophyta; Magnoliopsida; Brassicales; Brassicaceae. The record is from RNAcentral.